UACGGAGGGGGCAAGCGUUAUUCGGAAUUAUUGGGCGUAAAGGGCGCGUAGGCGGCUAGAUGUGUCAAAGGUGAAAUCCCUCGGCUCAACUGAGGAACUGCCUUUGAAACUGUCUGGCUUGAGGCCGGGAGAGGGUAGCGGAAUUCCCAGUGUAGCGGUGAAAUGCGUAGAUAUUGGGAGGAACACCAGUGGCGAAGGCGGCUACCUGGACCGGUUCUGACGCUGAGGCGCGAAAGCGUGGGCAGCAAACAGG
This 253-nucleotide ribosomal RNA is filed under the name uncultured bacterium. RNAcentral's name for it is "partial 16S ribosomal RNA". It matches the Rfam family "Bacterial small subunit ribosomal RNA", at positions 524 to 776 of the family's 1533-position model. The record is from RNAcentral.